Molecule: ribosomal RNA, 454 nt
Filed under: uncultured bacterium
Lineage: Bacteria
Description: partial 16S ribosomal RNA
Rfam family: Bacterial small subunit ribosomal RNA
Source: RNAcentral
ACGGAAGGCAGCAGUGAGGAAUAUUGGUCAAUGGGCGGGAGCCUGAACCAGCCAAGUAGCGUGAGGGAUGACGGCCCUAUGGGUUGUAAACCUCUUUUGACAGGGAAUAGAGUGAGCCACGUGUGGUUCAUUGCAUGUACCUGUGGAAUAAGGAUCGGCUAACUCCGUGCCAGCAGCCGCGGUAAUACGGAGGAUCCGAGCGUUAUCCGGAUUUAUUGGGUUUAAAGGGAGCGUAGGCGGGAUGUCAAGUCAGCUGUGAAAUGUCGUCGCUCAACGUCUGCACUGCAGUUGAAACUGGUGUCCUUGAGUGCGUAAGAGGCAGGUGGAAUUCGUCGUGUAGCGGUGAAAUGCAUAGAUAUGACGAAGAACUCCGAUUGCGAAGGCAGCCUGCUGGGCCGCUACUGACGCUGAAGCUCGAAGGUGCGGGUAUCAAACAGGAUUAGAUACCCUGGUA